AAGGAUACAAUCUUUGAUAGGGAAAAGUAAAUUUCUUCCCUUUGUUCCUGAAAUCCUAAUUGCAGGGAAGAAAUAUGCUUUAGAGACCAUAAAGGCUCCUUUUCUUUGUGCCCAGCUCAGAUUGUUAGAUGGUCAGUUUAAGAACCACAGGACAGCCACUUUUCUGGGCUUGAAACAAAAGUUAGAAUCUUUAAAGCGGACGGGUCAUCAGCCCAUUCAUAUUUUUGUAAUGACUGAUCUUCCUCGAG
This 248-nucleotide unclassified non-coding RNA is filed under the name Hevea brasiliensis (rubber tree). Lineage: Eukaryota; Viridiplantae; Streptophyta; Magnoliopsida; Malpighiales; Euphorbiaceae. The record is from RNAcentral.